This is a long non-coding RNA of Anthonomus grandis grandis, 800 nucleotides long. RefSeq lists it as uncharacterized. The transcript is spliced from 4 exons. NCBI's taxonomy places the organism in Eukaryota, Metazoa, Arthropoda, Insecta, Coleoptera, Curculionidae. The record is from RefSeq and is a predicted model, not a curated record.
AUGGAUGGAUUUCCAUGAUUGUUUUAGUGAAAGCUGAAGAACAGUUCAAAGAAUCUUUUAAAACAAAAAUCAACCCGAUCUGACCACCAGAAGUGGAGUUAUGACCCAAGUUACCUCAGACUGUCUUUUUUCUUGGACAUGAUUUACAAAAACCUGGAUAAAAAAGGUUCUAAUGGAUGGAUUUCCAUGAUUGUUUUAGUGAAAGCUGAAGAACAGUUCAAAGAAUCUUUUAAAACAAAAAUCAACCCGAUCUGACCACCAGAAGUGGAGUUAUGACCCAAGUUACCUCAGACUGUCUUUUUUCUUGGACAUGAUUUACAAAAACCUGGAUAAAAAAGGUUCUAAUGGAUGGAUUUCCAUGAUUGUUUUAGUGAAAGCUGAAGAACACUUCAGAGAAUCUUUUAAAACAAAAAUCAACCCGAUCUGACCACCAGAAGUGGAGUUAUGACCAAAGUUACCUCAGACUGUCUUUUUUCUUGGACAUGAUUUACAAAAACCUGGAUAAAAAAGGUUCUAAUGUAUGGAUUUCCAUGAUUGUUUUAGUGAAAGCUGAAGAACACUUCAGAGAAUCUUUUAAAACAAAAAUCAACCCGAUCUGACCACCAGAAGUGGAGUUAUGACCAAAGUUACCUCAGACUGUCUUUUUUCUUGGACAUGAUUUACAAAAACCUGGAUAAAAAAGGUUCUAAUGGAUGGAUUUCCAUGAUUGUUUUAGUGAAAGCUGAAGAAGACUUCAAAGAAUCUUUUAAAACAAAAAUCAACCCGAUCUGACCACCAGAAGUGAAGUUAUGACCCCAGUU